Molecule: long non-coding RNA, 1193 nt
Organism: Passer domesticus (house sparrow)
Lineage: Eukaryota; Metazoa; Chordata; Aves; Passeriformes; Passeridae
Exons: 2
Source: RefSeq, a predicted model, not a curated record
GGCCCCGCACUCCUGCAGCCCUUCCCGCACAUAAACAAGUGUCAAAGACCUGUCUGCUCGCUGUGCCCUGCGAGAGCGCUGCCCUGCACCGAGCAUCCCCCUCCUCCUUCACUUCCCCUGCCAUCCCUCUGGCAGCGGGUUUUGUCUUUUUUUAAAAACCCAGGUGCCAAACCUGUGUGAAAUUACUGAUAUUCACUGAAAUCUGGCUGAGAAGCACUCAGUACGGGAGGUCACGGUCAGUUUUGUGGCACCAUCACCCAACAGCCGCUGCCUCACCUGCAGGUGGCUGGGGCUGCUCACCGACACAGAAGGGCUGUUAAAGGCGCGUUGAGCUUAAGCUUCAUUUACUCAAGGGUAGAAUUAAUUUGUUUGAACUAUUUAUUUCAGAUAAAAUAAUCCCUUUAAAGGCUGCUGCUACUCUGUCAUUUUAGGCAUGUCCAUGUCCACCUGCCUUGACUUUGCUUUGGUCUGUGUGGAACUGCAGAAUGUUACAAAAUGGCAUUUGCAAAAAGAACAAGUAAACACAGGCUUAAUGAUCUCACUUAUUUUGCUUCCUUUACUUAUGACUCAUAAAAUGAAAAUCCUUUACUGUUGUAGCACAAAUAAAUUGCCAAGUUGGUUGCCUCUCGACUGUACUGCAAGUAGGGAACAAGAAGGGCUGAGAGUGAGGGAUCAGGAAAAGGUGAGGAUGUGCUCAGCUCUGAUUAAGUAACAUUAUCCUGCUUCUUUUGCUUUUGAAGGGUGGAAAAGCAAUAGGUGAUGUCUAAUGCUCCCGGGCAGCAAACAAUGGGUGGGGAACGCUGAGCUGGGUGCAGCACUUGGCAAUCUUUGGGGUGCAGUGAUGAGGUGCCAGUGCUUGAUGGUAUGGAUAGAAGGGAACACGCCUCAGCCUUGUGACAUGUGGGGUUAAUGGGGCAGAGCCACACCAUGUCCCUCUGAGGGGACCUGGGUGGCACUGCCACACCAGUGCCACAUCCCAGCUCUGGGCAGGAGAGGUUCCCUUCCUGGGCCAUCCAAUCCCUCAGCUGUUACAGCUCCUCAUAACCCACAUUUUGUGAACAACCACAACUCCCACAGUGAUGUCCAUUUCAGCCCAUUCCACACAGAAGCGGAAAAAUUUCUUCCUGAGAAGGAAUUAAUGCAAGAGAAGUGGAGAUCAGUAAAUGACUACAAUAAAAAUACCCUUCAGCUUU